This 297-nucleotide ribosomal RNA is filed under the name uncultured bacterium. Its description in RNAcentral is "partial 16S ribosomal RNA". It matches the Rfam family "Bacterial small subunit ribosomal RNA", at positions 29 to 334 of the family's 1533-position model. The record is from RNAcentral.
AACGAACGCUGGCGGCAGGCCUAACACAUGCAAGUCGAGGGAGAAGCUAUCUUCGGAUAGUGGAGACCGGCAGACGGGUGAGUAACACGUGGGUACAUACCGAGUAGGUGGGGGAUAACAGUUGGAAACGACUGCUAAUACCGCAUAAUGUCUACGGACCAAAGGGGGCUUCGGCUCUCGCCUUUAGAUUGGCCCAAGUGGGAUUAGCUAGUUGGUGAGGUAAUGGCUCACCAAGGCAACGAUCCCUAGCUGGUUUGAGAGGAUGAUCAGCCACACUGGAACUGAGACACGGUCCAG